AAGACUAUAGACCUGCGGAGUACCUGCGGAGGGAUCAUUACCGAGUUUACAACUCCCAAACCCCAUGUGAACAUACCUGUUUCGUUCCCUCGGCGGUGUCCGGCAACGGCCCGCCAGAGGACCCAACAAACUCUUUUGAAUUUUUCAGUAUCUUCUGAGUGAAAAAAACAAUAAAUCAAAACUUUUAACAAUGGAUCUCU
This 200-nucleotide unclassified non-coding RNA is filed under the name soil metagenome. Its description in RNAcentral is "partial contains 5.8S ribosomal RNA, internal transcribed spacer 2, and large subunit ribosomal RNA". The record is from RNAcentral.